CCUAAUUUUGCACUCUAUGCUGAACCCUUUGAUCUUCUUCUUCUUCGUUUCUGUUUCACGAAUCUGAACUACUAUCAAUCACUUCUUUCUCAAGCAAUAAAUUCCAACAGAAAAUCUCCUAUUUUCGAUGAUCUUACCGCGAAGAAACCAAACGGAAAGUACAGAGCCUCGCCGUCGCUUGCCUUCAGAUGACUCCGCCUCCGAAAAAAUCUGUGUAACGUCUUUGGUUUUCACUGACAUGCUUCUUUACUCCAAGCAUUUACGUGAUUUACCCCACUUCUAACAUUCUCUCGUAUUUAAUCAAUCUCAUCAUCUUCCAAGGAAACUGACAAAAGCUCUCCUAUUAAUGUGCAUGCUCUCAAUGAUGAACAACACUACCACUACAGAAUUUGAAAGAACAAACUCUUUUAAUUACCAGCUCCAACCAUGGCUUCAUCAUCUCGAUUCUUUCCGCCAUGUCAGGAGUGCUACUGUGCUAGGCUAUCUCUCUUUGAAAACCCCUUGCAGCAACGUCUCAUCCAUAAGGUAAGGUUCACACAGCCAAUGUAGAGGAGAGCCGGUGCCGCAAGAACUGCAAGACAGACUGUGGGAGAGCUCGAAGAGAUGUUUUUGCUGGUGGCGCAGCUUCAGAAUCCGAAGCACCGAAGGAAUAACUCUCAGCAACGGGUCUUCUCGAAGACAAUACCUUGACGGAGCUAAUAUUAUACCCAAAUUGAAUUGUUCUUCACCACUUACUUUCCUUCGGAGGCCACUAAAGCUAUUGAGAAAAAAGUGGAAUCUUUGGAUGAUUGGGGCGAGACCAGUAGCUGAUGGUCGUGGAAUAGUGAAUCGUGUCGAGCCAGUGAUCUUGGAAGAACUUGGCCGCAGAGGAUUGAUGUUGUAAUGGCUUUAUGUGUUUAAUCUUCAGGACAUCUUGAGCCAUAAAUCGUCUGCGUUAGAUUGUGAUGCUCCUGAAGCAAAAAUGAAUGAGAAAAAGAGCAAGUCUUUGAGAUUGCUCUUAGCACUACAGCAGUCAUGUUCCAGAACCAAGCUACUGAAUCCAAAGUUGUACGAAGGGCUAAUUUCAAGUGGAUACGAAAGAGGAGGUCGUGAGAUAUAGAAGAGGCUCACAAACAUUGUUUCAAAGAAACAUUGUAGCCAAGAGAUGUACACAAAAGUUCUACUCACAAACAUUGUAGAAAAGAAACAUGGUAGCCAAGAGAUGUACACAAAAAGUUCUACUGAGACUAGCCAAUCAACUACUUCAGACUUCUUCCCUAACGCGAGAUAAUUUGAAAGUGUUUGAUAUGUUGUGAUUGUGUAAUGAUCUACCUUUAAUAAUAAAAAGUGCUCAUUGAC
This is an RNA transcript of Raphanus sativus (radish), 1338 nucleotides long. RefSeq lists it as uncharacterized. The record is from RefSeq and is a predicted model, not a curated record. The transcript is spliced from 4 exons. Lineage: Eukaryota; Viridiplantae; Streptophyta; Magnoliopsida; Brassicales; Brassicaceae.